GGUUUCUCUCUAGAUGCCCUUGGUUUCUGAUGCCCUUGGGUUUCCUGUCCAGUGACCGUGAGUCUCCAUUCAUGAACAUCUGUCUACUGAGGCAAGGGCCCCUGCCAACUGUUCUCAUGAUUCGCAGCAACAGGAAUGUCACAGGGGUUCAAUAUUGGGAGACAAGGAAGCAACAUGACCACCCACCUUUCUGUCUGUGCAUGAGCUGAAUUUGGUAAAUGCUCUUUGGACUGAGGAGCUGUCAAUGGAGCUUCUACUUAUGCAAAUACGAUCUGUUCACAUAAUGUAUCAUGGGUCUGAGAGGGAUCUAUGGAAUAAUUGAAUGUAUAUACGAUUUCUAAACAAUGAGAUUGCUCUACCCAUCAAUGACUACUGUCAUGAUUCCAUCCGCUGUGCCCCAAAUUCACCUUGCUGCUGUUUCAGGGCUUCACACUGUUAUUCAAAAGAAAAAGAGGACAAGCUAACUUUUAUUUUGCUUUUUUGUAAUUUAGAUUUCUUUUUUUUUCCUUGUAAAAAAAUCUGUCUGUAAUUUAAUUAUGUAAACUAGUGAA
This is a non-coding RNA of Ictidomys tridecemlineatus (thirteen-lined ground squirrel), 551 nucleotides long. Lineage: Eukaryota; Metazoa; Chordata; Mammalia; Rodentia; Sciuridae. The record is from RefSeq and is a predicted model, not a curated record.